This 922-nucleotide long non-coding RNA is filed under the name Mytilus galloprovincialis (Mediterranean mussel). Lineage: Eukaryota; Metazoa; Mollusca; Bivalvia; Mytilida; Mytilidae. The record is from RNAcentral.
ACCACGCUCACCGCGAUCUAAAAUAAAUUCAGAUCGUGGUGAGGUCGCGGUAUGAGCGGCAUGAAAAUGUAAAUUUCCGUUGCUUUCACGAUGCUACUACGUCCUCAUUACACUUCUACAACGAUCCCGCUACGAUUAUACUACGUUCUCACCGCGCUUAUUCUGCGACCUCACUACGCUUAUCAAGAUCUUUCUACGCUCAUCGCGUUCUCACUACGACCAUACCACGAGUUAUCCGAUUGCAACACGAUCUUACCACGCUUCUACUGCGAUUAUAGCACGUUCUUACCACGAUUAUACUACGCUCAUACCGCGAUCUUACUACGUUCUCAGCAAUAACGUCAACAUCGUGUUCCAUAUCAAUACAGUUCCAUUCCUUCUAUUUCUGAUUAAUACGUAGAUUUCGCGGAAACAAUACAGUCAUGCCGCCAAAAUUUACUAGAACACGUGGGCGUGGUGGUAGGGGUUGAUGUAGAGGCAGAGGGAGCUCCAAUAGUAACGAAUCCUGAUCCAGCAGAGAUGUCGGACCGACCAAUCCAACCCAAGUUACAACCUAUUGCUGGUCCAUAAAACUCAAAUGACGAUAUUUUAGUGAACGAUACCAGAGAUGACACAGAUGUGUCAAUAGAUAUAGGAAUAUGUGGUAUGAGUGCGUUUGAGACAACUCUCCAUCCAAGUAACAAUUUAUAAAAGUAAACCUUUAUUGGCCAAGGUACGGUGUCCAACACGGAGCUUGGGCUCACACCGAACAGCAAGCUAUAAAGGGCCCCAAAAAUUACUAGUAUAAAACCAACGGUCUAAUCUAAAUAGAAACGAGAAGCAUGGUUGAGCCGUUAGAGAAAAUGGACAAGAAGUCCUAAUCACAUACAGACAAACAAAAUCUGGAGAGAUUUAAUAUAUUUUAUGUGAAAAUGACAACGAG